RNAcentral lists this ribosomal RNA (1103 nucleotides) under Ophioceras sp. A3-1D. RNAcentral's name for it is "SSU rRNA". It matches the Rfam family "Eukaryotic small subunit ribosomal RNA", at positions 28 to 1147 of the family's 1831-position model. The record is from RNAcentral. Lineage: Eukaryota; Fungi; Ascomycota; Sordariomycetes; Magnaporthales; Ophioceraceae.
UUGCUUGUCUCAAAGUUAAGCCAUGCAUGUCUAAGUAUAAGCAAUUAUACGGCGAAACUGCGAAUGGCUCAUUAAAUCAGUUAUCGUUCAUUUGAUAGUACCUUACUACUUGGAUAACCGUGGUAAUUCUAGAGCUAAUACAUGCUAAAAGUCCCGACUUCGGAAGGGACGUAUUUAUUAGAUUAAAAACCAAUGCCCUUCGGGGCUCACUGGUGAUUCAUGAUAACUUCUCGAAUCGCAUGGCCUUGCGCCGGCGAUGGUUCAUUCAAAUUUCUGCCCUAUCAACUUUCGAUGGCUGGGUCUUGGCCAGCCAUGGUGACAACGGGUAACGGAGGGUUAGGGCUCGACCCCGGAGAGGACGCCUGAGAAACGGCGUCCACAUCCAAGGAAGGCAGCAGGCGCGCAAAUUACCCAAUCCCGACACGGGGAGUAGUGACAAUAAAUACUGAUACAGGGCUCUUUUGGGUCUUGUAAUUGGAAUGAGUACAAUUUAAAUCCCUUAACGAGGAACAAUUGGAGGGCAAGUCUGGUGCCAGCAGCCGCGGUAAUUCCAGCUCCAAUAGCGUAUAUUAAAGUUGUUGCAGUUAAAAAGCUCGUAGUUGAACCUUGGGCCUGGCUGGCCGGUCCGCCUCACCGCGUGCACUGGUCCGGCCGGGCCUUUCCCUCUGGGGAGCCUCAUGCCCUUCACUGGGUGUGACGGGGAACCAGGACUUUUACUGUGAAAAAAUUAGAGUGUUCAAAGCAGGCCUAUGCUCGAAUACAUUAGCAUGGAAUAAUAGAAUAGGACGUGCGGUUCUAUUUUGUUGGUUUCUAGGACCGCCGUAAUGAUUAAUAGGGACAGUCGGGGGCAUCAGUAUUCAAUUGUCAGAGGUGAAAUUCUUGGAUUUAUUGAAGACUAACUACUGCGAAAGCAUUUGCCAAGGAUGUUUUCAUUAAUCAGGAACGAAAGUUAGGGGAUCGAAGACGAUCAGAUACCGUCGUAGUCUUAACCAUAAACUAUGCCGACUAGGGAUCGGACGAUGUUAUUUUUUGACUCGUUCGGCACCUUACACGAAAGUACAAGUUUUUGGUUCUGGGGGAGUAUGUCGCAAGGCUGAACUUAA